GCCUACGGGGGGCAGCAGUGGGGGAUAUUGCACAAUGGGGGGAACCCUGAUGCAGCGACGCCGCGUGGGUGAAGGAGCGUUUCGGCGCGUAAAGCCCUAUCGGCAGGGAAGAAGAUGACGGUACCUGACCAAGAAGCCCCGGCUAACUACGUGCCCGCAGCCGCGGUAAUACGUAGGGGGCAAGCGUUAUCCGGAUUUACUGGGUGUAAAGGGAGCGUAGACGGCAGUGCAAGUCUGAAGUGAACGGCAAGGGCUCCACCUUUGGACUGCUUUGGAAACUGUGCUGCUCGCGUGUCGGAGAGGCA
This 305-nucleotide ribosomal RNA is filed under the name uncultured bacterium. RNAcentral describes it as "bacterial SSU rRNA". It matches the Rfam family "Bacterial small subunit ribosomal RNA", at positions 337 to 659 of the family's 1533-position model. The record is from RNAcentral.